This 253-nucleotide ribosomal RNA is filed under the name uncultured bacterium. Its description in RNAcentral is "partial 16S ribosomal RNA". It matches the Rfam family "Bacterial small subunit ribosomal RNA", at positions 524 to 776 of the family's 1533-position model. The record is from RNAcentral.
UACGUAGGGGGCAAGCGUUGUCCGGAUUUAUUGGGCGUAAAGAGCGUGUAGGCGGCUGGGUAGGUCCGUUGUGAAAACUCGAGGCUCAACCUCGAGACGCCGAUGGAAACCCCCCAGCUAGAGUCCGGAAGAGGAGAGUGGAAUUCCUGGUGUAGCGGUGAAAUGCGCAGAUAUCAGGAAGAACACCCGUGGCUAAGGCGGCUCACUGGUCCGGUACUGACGCUGAGGUGCGAAAGCGUGGGGAGCAAACAGG